UACGAAGGGGGCUAGCGUUGUUCGGAUUUACUGGGCGUAAAGCGCACGUAGGCGGAUUGUUAAGUUGGGGGUGAAAUCCUGGAGCUCAACUCCAGAACUGCCUUCAAUACUGGCAAUCUCGAGUCCGGAAGAGGUAAGUGGAACUCCUAGUGUAGAGGUGGAAUUCGUAGAUAUUAGGAAGAACACCAGUGGCGAAAGCGACUUCCUGGACCAAUACUGACGCUCAUGUGCGAAAGCGUGGGGAGCAAACAGG
This 253-nucleotide ribosomal RNA is filed under the name uncultured bacterium. Its description in RNAcentral is "partial 16S ribosomal RNA". It matches the Rfam family "Bacterial small subunit ribosomal RNA", at positions 524 to 776 of the family's 1533-position model. The record is from RNAcentral.